GAUGAACGCUAGCGGCAGGCCUAAUACAUGCAAGUCGAACGGAUAUAUGUUUUUCGGAAUAUAUAUUAGUGGCGCACGGGUGAGUAACACGUACAUAACUUGCCCUCAAGCGGGGGAUAGCCUUGGGAAACUGAGAGUAAUACCCCAUAGAAUUAUUGGACGGCAUCGUUUGAUAAUUAAAACUACGGUGUUUGGGGAUAGAUGUGCGUCUGAUUAGCUAGUUGGUGAGGUAACUGCUCACCAAGGCGACGAUCAGUAGGGGGGCGUGAGAGCGUGGCCCCCCACACGGGUACGUGAGACACGGACCCGGACCUCCUACGGGAGGCAGCAGUAAGGAAUAUUGGUCAAUAGGAGGGAACUACUGAACCAGCCAUGCCGCGUGAAGGAUGACGGCCC
Molecule: ribosomal RNA, 396 nt
Filed under: uncultured bacterium
Lineage: Bacteria
Description: bacterial SSU rRNA
Rfam family: Bacterial small subunit ribosomal RNA
Source: RNAcentral